GCUACAGUGCCUCGGGCUUUCCUGGAGGCGGGCGGCGGGAUGCUGCUCCGUUCUCCGGGUCCUCUCCUCCGGUUCUUGUCGUUUGGUCACGCCCUCAGUUCAGUCGGUUAUUGGAAAACGAUCAAGGCCCAAAGAUGGUUUACGUGGCGUUGUGGAUGUUAUCACCGUUGUUUGGUGACCGAGCCUGGAGCUUGAGCCCUGGGACGUCUUGCCAGCCGCAUGUGGUCCCGUGCCCACUUCUCGCGGUGGCGCGUUAAUCCACCUAGACUGUGCAUUGGUCCAGUCUGGGUUGACCCCGACCCGAAGUGGCCCUUUCCUUCGCGUCCUGAACUUCGCUUCUCCGUCGGUGUCUGGUCUCUUCCCGCCGGCGGGCUCUGCGGUGGCGGGAGGAGCUGUACUACUCGUGCCUUAGCGCACCCUUACUUUCCCAGGCCAGAAACGCGAAAUGCUGUCGGCCUUCCAGAGGCUGUUCCGAGUCUUAUUUGUGAUUGAAACAGUCUCAGAAUACGGAGUCCUGAUCUUCAUUUAUGGAUGGCCCUUUCUCCAGACCCUUGCGAUGCUCCUGAUCGGGACAGUGUCUUUCCACCUUUGGAUCCGCAGAAAUCGAGAGAGAAACUCAAGGAGCGGAAAGACUAGAUGCCGAUCCAAAAGGUCGGAGCAGAGCAUGGACAUGGGAACGAGUGCUCUCAGCAAGAAGCCGUGGUGGACCCUGCCUCAAAACUUUCAUGCACCAAUGGUGUUUCACAUGGAAGAGGACCAGGAGGAGCUCAUCUUCGGGCAUGGUGACACAUACCUUCGCUGCAUUGAGGUGCACAGCCACACCCUUAUUCAGCUGGAGAGUUGGUUCACAGCUACAGGCCAGACUCGUGUGACUGUAGUCGGACCACACAGGGCAAGGCAGUGGCUGCUGCACAUGUUUUGUUGUGUGGGGAGCCAGGACUCCUAUCAUCAUGCUCGAGAGCCAUGUAAAAAUGAUUCCUGGCUGGGCGCAGUAGCUCACACCUGUAAUCCCAGCACUGUGGGAGGCCGAGGUGGUUUGAUCACCUGAGGUGAGGAGUUUGAGACCAGCCUGGCCAACACGGUGAAACCUCGUUUCUACUAAAAAUACAAAAAUUAGCUGGGUGUGGUGGUGUACGUCUGUAAUCCCAGCUACUCGGGAGGCUGAGGUGGGAGCACAGCAUGGCCGUGGGAACGAGUGCUCUCAGCAAGGAGCCGUGGUGGACCCUGCCCGAAAACUUUCAUUCUCCAAUGGUGUUCCACAUGGAAGAGGACCAGGAGGAGCUCAUCUUCGGACUUGAUGACACGUACCUUCGCUGCAUUGAGCUGCACAGCCACACCCUUAUUCAGCUGGAGAGGUGUUUCACAGCUACAGGCCAGACACGUGUGACUGUAGUCGGACCACCAAUGGCAAAGCAGUGGCUGCUGCUCAUGUUCCAUUGCGUGGGGAGCCAGGACUCCAAGUGUCACGCUCGAGGUCUGAAGAUGCUAGAGCGUGUCCGAAGCCAGCCCCUGACCAAUGAUGACCUGGUCACCUCCGUUAGCCUGCCACCGUACACCGGAGACUGAUCUCCCCUGGGAAGAGGGGAUGAGAGGAGAAGUCUUGGCUUCGCUUUUGGUGAGAAAGACAUGAAAAACACUGAAGAAAGUUUGAAUUUGUGGCCAGACCUGCCCCUCUCAGGCCUUCUAGGCAUGUGUCUGAGGGAAGUCUCCUGAGUGUUAGAAGUGUUAUUGGCAAAGCAAUCCAAUAAAAUAAGCUACCUAUGAUGCAAA
This 1770-nucleotide long non-coding RNA is filed under the name Homo sapiens (human). Its description in RNAcentral is "KHDC1-KHDC1L, transcript variant 1 (LOC122539213)". The record is from RNAcentral. Lineage: Eukaryota; Metazoa; Chordata; Mammalia; Primates; Hominidae.